GUUGUUGCGGUUGAAAAGCUCGUAGUUGGGUUUCUGCGGAGGAAGCGCGGUCCGCACUUGGUGCGUGUAUCUGGUCUACCUACGCAUCUUCCAGUGAAACGCUACUGCGCUUUAUUGCGUGGCGCGGCAAUCUGGACUUUUACUUUGAGGAAAUUGGAGUGUUUACAGCGAGCGAUUGGUUUGAACAUAUUAGCAUGGAAUAAUAACCUAGAACCUUGGUUCUAUUUUGUUGGUUUCUAGACUAGGGUAAUGAUCAAUAGGGAUAAUUGGGGGCAUUUGUAUCAACACGUCAGAGGUGAAAUUCUUGGAUUGUGUUACGACGAACCACUGCGAAAGCAUUUGCCAAGGAUGUUUUCAUUGAUCAAGAACGAAAGUGCAGGGAUCGAAGACGAUUAGAUACCGUCGUAGUCUGCACCGUAAACUAUGCCGAUUAAAGAUUGGAGGUCGUUCUUAUUGUGGCUCCUUCAGUAAUUUAUGAGAAAUCAAAAUUCUUGGGUUCCGGGGGGAGUAUGGUCGCAAGGCUGAAACUUAAAGGAAUUGACGGAAGGGCACCACCAGGAGUGGAGCCUGCGGCUUAAUUUGACUCAACACGGGGAAACUCACCAGGUCCAGACAUAGCAAGGAUUGACAGAAUGACAGCUCUUUCUUGAUUCUGUGGGUGGUGGUGCAUGGCCGUUCUUAGUUGGUGGAGUGAUUUGUCUGGUUAAUUCCGUUAACGAACGAGAUCUUAUCCUGCUAAAUAGGAACGUGUGUCUUCGGACAUGCAGGUUGCUUCUUAGAGGGACUUUGCGAAUUGCAGCGUAGGGAAGGUUGAGGCAAUAACAGGUCUGUGAUGCCCUUAGAUGUUCUGGGCUGCACGCGCGCUACACUGAUGCGUUCAACGAGU
This 886-nucleotide ribosomal RNA is filed under the name uncultured marine eukaryote. RNAcentral describes it as "SSU rRNA". It matches the Rfam family "Eukaryotic small subunit ribosomal RNA", at positions 609 to 1520 of the family's 1831-position model. The record is from RNAcentral.